RNAcentral lists this ribosomal RNA (468 nucleotides) under uncultured bacterium. Its description in RNAcentral is "partial 16S ribosomal RNA". It matches the Rfam family "Bacterial small subunit ribosomal RNA", at positions 28 to 507 of the family's 1533-position model. The record is from RNAcentral.
GACGAACGCUGGCGGCGUGCUUAACACAUGCAAGUCGAACGGACAGGCCCUACUUUUGUGGCGUUCUCGAUUGGCGAACGGGUGAGUAACACGUGAGUAUCAUGCCCUUGACUUUCGGGUAAAUUCAGGGAACUGGGGCUCAUACCGGAUAGGAUCUCCUGCUGCACGGUGUUGGUUGGAAAGAUUCGGCGGUGGUGGCUGGAUUCGAGGCUUAUCAGCUUGUUGGUGUGGUAGUUGAUUACCAAGCGUUUGACGGCUAGCCUGCCUGAGAGGCUGAACGGCGACAAUGGGACUGAGAGAGGGAGCAGUAUCCUAUGGGAGGCAGCAGUGGGGAAUAUUGCAGAAUGGGCGGAAGCCUGAUGCAGCAACGCUCGGUGCGUGAUGACGGCUUAUGGGUUGUAAACCGCUUUCGCCGGUGAUGAAGCGUGAGUGACGGUAAUGGGUAAAGAAGCACCGGCUAACUACGUG